UAGGGAAUCUUCCGCAAUGGACGCAAGCCUGACGGAGCAACGCCGCGUGAGUGAAGAAGGAUUUCGGUUCGUAAAACUCUGUUGUUAGAGAAGAACAGCGCAUAGAGUAACUGUUAUGCGUGUGACGGUAUCUAACCAGAAAGCCACGGCUAACUACGUGCCAGCAGCCGCGGUAAUACGUAGGUGGCAAGCGUUGUCCGGAUUUAGUGGGCGUAAAGCGAGCGCAGGCGGUCAAUUAAGUCUGAUGUGAAAGCCCCCGGCUCAACCGGGGGGGGUCAUUGGAAACUGGUUGACUUGAGUGCAGAAGAGGAGAGUGGAAUUCCAUGUGUAGUGGUGAAAUGCGUAGAUAUAUGGAGGAACACCAGUGGCGAAGGCGACUCUCUGGUCUGUAACUGACGCUGAGGCUCGAAAGCGUGGGUAGCAAACAGG
RNAcentral lists this ribosomal RNA (429 nucleotides) under Bacteroidota bacterium. RNAcentral's name for it is "Bacteroidetes bacterium partial 16S ribosomal RNA". It matches the Rfam family "Bacterial small subunit ribosomal RNA", at positions 355 to 776 of the family's 1533-position model. Lineage: Bacteria; Pseudomonadati; Bacteroidota. The record is from RNAcentral.